AGAGUUUGAUCCUGGCUCAGGACUAACGCUGGCGGCGUGCCUAACACAUGCAAGUCGUACGGAAAGGCUCUAGCUUGCUAGAGUACUCGAGUGGCAAACGGGUAGUAACGCGUAAGGAAUCUACCUUUUGGACGGGGACAACCAACUGAAAAGUUGGCUAAUACCGGAUAAGUUCUUUUUCUCGCAUGGGAAGAAGAGGAAACCAGCUUGCUGGCCGAAAGAUGACCUUGCGUCCGAUUAGUUAGUUGGUGAGGUAAUGGCUCACCAAGACUUUGAUCGGUAACUGGUCUGAGAGGAUGAUCAGUCACAUUGGGACUGCGACACGGCCCAGACUCCUACGGGAGGCAGCAGUGAGGAAUUUUGCGCAACGGGGGAAACCCUGACGCAGCGACGCCGCGUGGAGGAUGAAUUCUUUCGGGAUGUAAACUCCUGUCAGUGGGGAAGAUAAUGACGGUACCCACAGAGGGAGCACCGGCUAACUAUGUGCCAGCAGCCGCGGUAAUACAUAGGGUGCAAGCGUUGUCCGGAUUUAUUGGGCGUAAAGCGCGCGUAGGCGGUAGACUAAGUUGGAUUUGAAAGGCCAAGGCUCAACCUUGGUUUGGGUCCAAUACUGGUUUACUAGAGAGUAGGAGAGGGAAGUAGAAUUUACGGCGUAGCGGUGAAAUGCGUAGAUAUCGUAAGGAAUACCAGUGGCGAAGGCGGCUUCCUGGACUACUUCUGACGCUGAGGCGCGUAAGCGUGGGUAGCAAACAGGAUUAGAUACCCUGGUAGUCCACGCUGUAAACGAUGUUCAUUAGGUGUGGGAGGUUUCAAUACCUUCUGUGCCGUAGCUAACGCGUUAAAUGAACCGCCUGGGGAGUACGGUCGCAAGACUAAAACUCAAAGGAAUUGACGGGGGCCCGCACAAGCAGUGGAUCAUGUGGUUUAAUUCGAUGAUACGCGAAGAACCUUACCAGCACUUGACAUCUAGGGAAUCUUUUAGAGAUAAGAGAGUGCCUUCGGGAACCCUAAGACAGGUGGUGCAUGGUUGUCGUCAGCUCGUGUCGUGAGAUGUUGGGUUAAGUCCCGCAACGAGCGCAACCCUCGUCCUAUGUUGCUACCUUCGGGAGCACCCUUAGGAGACUGCCUGUGGAAAACAGGAGGAAGGUGGGGAUGACGUCAAAUCAUCAUGCCCCUUACGUGCUGGGCUACACACAUGAUACAAUGGAUGGUACAAAGGGUUGCUAAGCCGCAAGGUGGUGCUAAUCUCAGAAAACCAUUCUCAGUUCGGAUUGUAGUCUGCAACUCGACUACAUGAAGUUGGAAUUGCUAGUAAACGCAGAUCAGAACGCUGCGUUGAAUACGUUCCCGGGCCUUGUACACACCGCCCGUCACACCAUGAGAGCUGGAUAUACCCGAAGUCGGUGAGCUAACCGCAAGGAGGCAACCGCCGAAGGUAGAGCUGGUAAUUGGGGUGAAGUCGUAACAAGGUA
This 1472-nucleotide ribosomal RNA is filed under the name metagenome. RNAcentral's name for it is "bacterial SSU rRNA". It matches the Rfam family "Bacterial small subunit ribosomal RNA". The record is from RNAcentral.